AUUUAUAUAGCUUAAAGUAGAGUGUUACACUGAAGAUGUAAUGGUGAAUUAUUCUAUAAAUA
This 62-nucleotide transfer RNA is filed under the name unidentified. RNAcentral describes it as "Wallacea dactyliferae tRNA-Phe". It matches the Rfam family "tRNA". From Rfam's summary of the family: Transfer RNA (tRNA) molecules are approximately 80 nucleotides in length. Their secondary structure includes four short double-helical elements and three loops (D, anti-codon, and T loops). The record is from RNAcentral.